Saccostrea cuccullata (small rock oyster) is the source of this 909-nucleotide RNA transcript. It is a transcript of the gene named clumping factor A-like, with no coding region annotated. The record is from RefSeq and is a predicted model, not a curated record. Lineage: Eukaryota; Metazoa; Mollusca; Bivalvia; Ostreida; Ostreidae. The transcript is spliced from 3 exons.
GUUUAAAAUACAUAACCACAUAUCCACAUUUACAAUAAAGUAGAUGGUUUUGUUGUUUUGAUAAAAAAGAAAACAUGCGAAAAUAUUAUGAAAAUCUGUCGGGAUCGUUCUGCGUAUAUUUGGCAACAUUCGUAACACAUGUAAACAAUAUGGCUUCUUGCGACAUUUCUUCAUCCCCAGAAUCGUCAGAUAUAGAUACAGACGAAAAAUUUGGCGACGAUUCAUCCGAGUCUGGAUCAGAUUUUGAUCAGGAUGAUUCAGACAGCGACCAUUCCUUUGGAAGUGAGACAGACAGCGAUGACAACCAGGACACAGAUUCGACAUUAUUUGACCUUGACAGCCAGGCAAGCGACAUUAGAGAUUCUGACUUCUGGACUGAUGUUGUGGAAGACUUUGAUGUUCCUGACUUCGUCGAUACUUCAGGUCCCACUCAUCAGCUCUCUUCGGAUGCAAAUCCUCUGUUAUAUUUCCUGCUCUUGUUUCCCUUGAGUCUGGUACAGGUACUUGUAAACAACACCAAUUUGUAUGCUGCUCAGAGUGGAGCCCAGGGUUGGACUGAUACCACCAUCGACGAGAUGAAGGCAUUCCUCGGAUUACAAAUUCUGAUGGGGAUUAUUCAGCUUCCCAGAUACACUAUGUAUUGGUCAUCUGAUAAGUUUAUCGAUGUUGAGCUGACCAAUGUCUUCAAACCUUUACCAUGAAACAACUCGGAUCAUAAACUUUUCUAAAUAUUGAGGAAUAUGUUGAAUAUAAAAUGAAAAUACUUUACACCUGCUUAGUGCUCUUCUGGAAUUGGCAGUGUAACAUUGGUUUUCAAGAAACACUGAGUUUGAAAAGAUUUGAAAAGCUCACUCGGUAUUUCCAUCUAAGUGAUAAUACUACUCAGGGAGCCAGAGGAACACCUGAAUU